AAUCGCGGCAUUUGAGCGGCUGGAUCCCGACGCAGGAGCAGCGGGCGGGUCCCGCCACCCGGCCGGGCCGCGUGCCUAGGGUGGGUCGUGAAGGGAGAAGGAAACGCCCCGGCUAGAAGCGAGGAGGAAAACCAUAGAGCGCGGCCUCAGCGGAGUGCUAGACAGGCACAUUCUCGGGCCCUUCCAGCCGGCCCGUCUCGGUGCUUGCUAGGCGUAAGGCACGCGCGGCCUUCUCAUUGGCCCGGAAGACACCCGCUCCGGACCUGGAGACGCAGGCACGGGGCUGCCGGAGUCGAGCGUCGGGAAGAGCUCACCGCUGCCCGGUCACUGGCCGGCCGGGAGAACCUCGCUUCAAAAUACCUAAGAACAUCAAGAGAGACAAAAGUCAAAUACGUCACUCCACCUUACCUAAGAACAGCAAGACAGUCAUCCGGACAAGAGUGAAUAUAUGAAGGAGGAAGUGGGGGAAUCUGCUGAAGAUGAGGCGACUGAAUCGGAAGAAGACCCUGAAUUUGAUGAAAGAGUUGGAUGCCUUUCCAAAGGUUCCUGAGAGCUAUGUGGAGACUUCAACAAGUGGUGGAACAGUUUCUUUAAUAGCAUUUACAGCUAUGGCUUUAUUAACCAUACUGGAGUUUAUGGUGUAUCGAGACACCUGGAUGAAAUAUGAAUAUGAAGUAGACAAGGAUUUUACUAGUAAAUUAAGAAUCAAUAUAGAUAUUACUGUUGCCAUGAAGUGUCAAUAUGUGGGGGCUGAUGUUUUGGAUUUAGCAGAAACAAUGGUUGCCUCUGCAGAUGGUUUAGUUUAUGAACCGGUAAUAUUUGAUCUCAGUCCCCAGCAAAGAGAGUGGCAGAGGAUGCUGAAGUUAAUUCAGAGUAGGCUGCAGGAAGAACACUCCCUUCAAGAUGUGAUAUUCAAAAGUGCUUUUAAAAGUGCUUCAACAGCACUGCCACCAAGGGAGGAUAAUUCGUUACUGCCUCCAGAUGCAUGUAGAAUUCAUGGUCAUCUCUAUGUCAAUAAAGUGGCAGGAAACUUUCACAUAACUGUGGGCAAGGCAAUUCCCCAUCCCCGAGGCCAUGCACACUUGGCAGCCCUUGUGAGCCACGAUUCAUACAACUUCUCUCAUAGAAUAGAUCACUUGUCUUUUGGCGAGCUCAUUCCAGGAAUUAUUAAUCCUUUGGACGGGACAGAAAAAAUUGCAUCAGAUCACAACCAGAUGUUCCAAUAUUUUAUCACAGUCGUGCCAACAAAACUCCAUACGUAUAAAAUUUCAGCAGAAACUCACCAGUUUUCCGUGACAGAAAGGGAAAGAGUGAUUAACCAUGCAGCUGGCAGCCAUGGGGUAUCAGGGAUAUUCAUGAAAUAUGACAUCAGUUCACUUAUGGUGACAGUAACAGAAGAACACAUGCCCUUUUGGCAGUUCUUAGUAAGACUCUGUGGUAUUAUUGGCGGAAUUUUCUCAACUACAGGCAUUUUACAUGGCAUUGGAAGAUUCCUAGUGGAAAUUAUCUGCUGCCGUUUCAAGCUGGGUUUACACAAACCUACACCUGUCCUACUUCCAGAUGGCCAUAUAAACAACCACUUACCUCUAAGUACAGACAACAGUAUACAUUAGCAUCUCCUUGGGAAACUUUUUUUCUUUCUUUCUGCCUGAUACAGAAGACAGUUUUUAUAAUAAAGAAAACAUUGUGCAAUAUGUUGAGACAGUGCUGAUGGGAAGCAAAAAUCAAGCCUUUUCAAAAAACAGUCUGUGUAAUUUGUCUCUUUUAAGUGCACAUGGAGUCAAAGGAGGACAGGAAGCCCUGUGAAGCCAACCUCUUCUUGAGCUAGCAGAAGCAUUACUGAAGAGAGACAAUAUUUGCAGUGAAACUGAGUGUCUUUGCAAAAACUGCCAUCAGCGCUGAAGUGUCAGUGUAGUGAUCUGGAUUCCAGGCCUGCGAAGUCAGGCAAACACCUACGAAAGCUAACACACAUGCAGAAUGCAGAGAGAGCCCCAUGCAGUGUUCAGCUUGCAGUGCAGCAAGCAAGGGUGGCUGUGAUAAUUGUAGUUUAAGAAGCCAGGAUUUGCUGCUAGUUUUCAGAAAUGAGACAUGAGAUUUUUUUAUUUUUUAUCUUUUAAAUGAGUAGGUAGAGGAGGCUUGGAUACUAUGCUUAUGGAGGUGGGGGGCACUAUUGAAAACCCUGAAAUAGAAGCUGGCUCAGGGACUAAGACAGAGCCAUAGCACUUUCAGCAGUCACUGCCAUUCUCCAGUAGCGCCAUUACCUAUCUACAAGAGGAAAAAAUGCUGCAGAGCAGGGAAUAUGGCAUUUCUCUGUGUCUCUUCUCAGAGCCACUUUUUGCUAACAAUCAGAUUCUCUCUGAGUUUGAGCCAAGGAAUCAGGAAUAGUAAGUCACUGUUGAAAAUGUGUUUGACCGGAAUCGUAUCUGUUUUCCUAUCCCAGGGCUAAACUCGGUCUCCAGAAAGUAAGAAACCACCUCUCUGCUAUGGCUUAGAAAAGAAAUGAAUGUCUUGUGAUUAGGUGGGCCACAACACUGCAUUUCAAGAACAGACUGUCCUCUACCUGCUGCUGGAACAUGAGUUUUGGCAAAUAAAAAACAAGAGAGUAAGAGGAGGGAGAAGAGAUUUGAAGAACAAAUGGCUAAGAACAGCAAAGCAAUUUAUUACUAAAUACUGCAGAAGCAAGUAAACUGUCAGCCAGUGAGUCUGCUGGACCACCCAGGGUAUAGUAAAGACAAUCACCAAGGAACAGAUGAUGGCAGAGAAUUUGAAUAAAUUUCUCUGCAGUAUAGGUGAUGAGAAAGAGUUUAAAUUUACACGUCAUGAAAGUUUUUUGGGGCGGAGGAGGUGGUGGUUGUUUUUUAAGUAAAUGGAGCAUCCCGAGCUUUAUGCUGGAAUACAUUAGUGGAGCUGGUGGUGUUAAGAAACUAAAGAACUAAGUACUAUAGCUGAACUACUGACCAAAACAUGUCAUUAAGAAACUCAACUAUUCCACCAGAGAGUACACAGCGUAUAGGCUGAUUUGCAUCACCCUGAUUUUUGUAGAGUUAAUGCCUCUCUAAAUUGUGAGAAUUAUGUGGAAGAGUAUUAAAUAAAGAGUGGGAAGGGAAGAACCUGUCCAUAAUUUGUUUGGAUGAUUGAAAAAGUCCCAAGUUUAAGGAAACUAGGUCAUCUGAGGACGGAGGUAAAGUUGUUUUUGUUUUUUUUUUCAUAGAUUGAGAUGGGAAACAAAGGUCUUGGCUACCUUGAGCAAGGAAACCAUCACACAGUGACUGAAUUAAGUGGCAUGGUGCUUCAUGUGUCCUUGCAACCAUGUAGUGUAUCCAUGCAGUAAUGCCGUUCUUGAUGGAACAAGUCUAGUGCAUUCACGUGAUUCUUGUAUUGCAACUGUGAUACCAGUGCAUUCCAUCAUAUAGUGCCCAGCACCUUUGCUAGGAGCAGGGGCUUUUGGGGUAACUUCCAGAUAUGAGGCACUGCAUUGUGGGAUGGAGUUAGAGGCAGUUGUACAUUGUAGCUGCCAUGCUUGUUGUUACAUGUCCAUACUGGGGUGAAGCCAUUAUAGUCUGUGCCAGCUCAUCUGGAUCUGAACUGAAGGUUUUGUUCCCAGUGUUACAGCUAAUUAACAUUGCAACCACACCUUGGACAGCUAUUCUGUGUGGAUGCGAGAAGGCACACAAGGGUUGCAAGCCUAUUUCUGUGAUAUAAACUCAGCUGUGAUCCUCUCUGUGUACUACACCAACUCUGGAGGGGUAGUAGUUGUACUGGAGGACUGGACCAAACUCUCAAGUGUCCUGAAGUGGGGCUGAAAGCAAAGAGGAAAGCUUUGGGACUUAAAUAAAUAAAUAAAUAAAAUAAAGCCUUAUAUGUUGUAAGAGGAAAUAGGCAGUGGAAGUACAAAGCAAGGGGAUGUAAAAUUGAGCUGUCACACCCAUGGCAUUUAAGUUCCUUCUUAAUAGUUUUUUAACGCAACCAAGCACUGUCGCUUCUUAAAACAAAUUAGUUCUCAAAUUUUUGUACUGGUGACCCCUUUCACAUGGCAAGCCACCCCCCCCCAUAAAUUAAAAACACUUUUUAAUAUAUUUAACACCAUUGUAAAUGCUGGAGGCAAAACGGGGUUUGGGGUGGAGGCUGACAGCUUGCAACCCCCUAGGUAAUAACCUUGCAACCCCCUGAGGGGUCUGGACCCUCAGUUUGAGAACCCCUGUCUUAGAAGAUAUGAAAUCAAAAUUGUUUGUUUGAUUGGGAGGGAAAGUGUCCAGGGAAAGGUUUGUCUCUGCCUUAAAGUACUCCACGGUGUGAAAAUAUUUGAGAACUGUACUAUGUGCACCUGGUCUUGCCUUGGUAGUUUAUUCCAUAUGUUGUUUUUUUUAUGUAAUGACCUUUCCUUCAAAAUUCAUUUAGUGCUGGCUCCUGCCCUGGUAUUGGGGCCCUGGGAGUAGUUUUGUAUUUUGACAAAACAUCCUUGCACAUAUGUAUUCUACACCCUGCACCCACCCUUAAGAACAUUUUGUGCAUUUUGAAGGAACUCCACUUGCCCCACAAGAAGUCUAGCAUUAUGGCACUUGGCCUUCGGCUUCAGCAGGGGUCAGUGGGGCUUCUGAGUUAGUCAUUGAUGCCAUUUUGUUCAGCAGGACUGGUUAAUCGCUCCUUCUCUUUUCAACCCUGUGGCUCAGUGCUCUGUGUCCAUAGUAUUCCCAGCUUCUGUUGGCCAAGGUGGAAGAUUAUUCUCUUUCAGUGAGGUCUUUUCUCACUCCUGUCAGGUGGUGUGUCUAAUCUUAAAUUCUUUGAGAUGACUACAGUGAGUGGUCUUUGCUGUUUGAAUACAAGAAUCUGCUCUGUGCACAGCAAUGGCUGGCAAUGGAAGAAUUGUUUUCUUAAUCAAGGAGGGAGCUAACCCACAGCUUUGGCUCUGUGUACACCUUUUCUUUUUCACUGGCACCAUUUCAUUCCAGACUCAACACCUGAGGAGCAUGUUAAGAAUUGUGAGUGGUGUAGACCAGUGGUUCUCAACCUUUCCAUUCUACUGUACCCCUUUCAGGAGUCUGAUACGUCGUGUGUACCCCAAGUUUUACCUCACUUAAAAACUACUUGCUUACAAAAUCAGACAUAAAAAUACAGAAGUGUCAGAGCACACAGUUACAGAAAAAUUGCUUAUUUCUCAUUUUUACCAUAUAAUUAUAAAAUAAAUCAAUUGGAAUAUAAAUAUCAUACUUACAUUUCAGUGUAUAGUAUCCAGAGCAGUAUAAACAAGUCAUUGUGUGAAAUUUUAGUUUGUACUGACUUCACUAGUGCUUUUUAUGUAGCCUGUUGUAAAACUAGGCAAAUAUCUAGAUGGGUUGAUGUAUUCCCUGGAAGAUCUCUGUGUACUGCCAGGGCUAUGUGUACCUCUGGUUGAGAACCACUGGUUUGGAGGGCCACAGUAGGUUGACGUAAAGGGUAAUUAUGUAACACAUUUGCUGUUGGUUUGUGUCAAACCUACUUGCACAGCAGCUCCAACACACAACCAAUGCACUUCUGUGCUGAGAGCAUUGGCCAGUGAUCUGCAAGGCUGGGAGAAUGGAACAUGUUUCUAAGUGUCUGAAUGAAAGUCUCAGGGUAAAUAAAAAUGUAAUUGUACCAGCCUUAUGCAUUGACUGUCCAUGGUUGAAAGUCUGCCAGGUGGGGUUAUUUUAUAGUGCAGCCACAUCACUGCUCUAUUAUUUUUUGUAUGUUAUAUAAUGUAUGAGGCAGUUUGAGAUAGAGGAAGAAACUCCAGAAGUCUUAUUCUCUGUUUGCUCAUUGGAAUGACUCUGAUCUCUUUUCAGAGUAGCAGCCGUGUUAGUCUGUAUCUGCAAAAAGAAAAGGAGGACUUGUGGCACCUUAGAGACUUAACAAAUUUAUUUGAGCAUAAGCUUUCGUGAGCUACAGCUCACUUCACCGGAUGAAGUGAGCUGUAACUCACAAAAGCUUAUGCUCAAAUAAAUUUGUUAGUCUCUAAGGUGCCACAAGUCCUCCUUUUCUUUCUGUGAUCUCUGAUGCUGGGAAGAGGUAUGGCUGAAAUUCCCCACAGAGCUCCUGGCAAGUGGCAAAUUGGUGGGGAGGGGUGUUUUUUUUUCCUUCUGCAGCCCUUUGGGGAUCUUUGUUUGAGAGCAUGAAAUGGUGCAAAUGGGUUAAGGUCCAAACUUUGUUUUCACAUUUUUAUUGAUGGACCCUUUUUGUGAAUAAGAGGGAUUUUUUUCCCCAUUCCACCAUCCCCACCUUGUACUCACACAUUCUCAAUAACCAGUUGAAUGAUGUUUUGUAUGACGACACUGCAGCAUAUUGCUGCAUUUCCCAAGACACCUGCAACCUAAUAUUUGAAUAUUUUAUGAGUUUAUCAGAAAAUUGCAGGCCAUGUGCUUCAUUACAGCCUUCUCGUUGACUUCCCACAGGAGGAAGAGAAGGAUUGUGAGGAGAGAAGGAAGUAGCCCAGUCUAAGCCACAAUAUGAGCGUCGCUCUGAUGAUGCGCUCAAUGAUUUGGGACAAGUAACUCCCCCUCUUUGCCUCAGUUUCCCCAUCUGUACAAUGGGGAUAAUGAUACUGACCUACCUCACAGGGCUGUUGUGAGGAUUGAUUAGAUGUUUGUAAAGCACUUGGAAAGUGGAAGCACUACAAAUGCUGUGGAAUUGUUAGAUUUUGGUGAAAGUUUGUGGCCAGGUAUUUGUGUUCUCUUGUUCUCAGACAUCUGGGCAGACUCUGAUCUGGAGCUGCCAUUUGCCUGGUGCUAGAUGGGACUGGCAGUUACUGUCAACUUAAUUUUCACACUUUUUUUUCAAAUCUGCAAAUGCAAAGGAAAUGUACAAUGACCAUUCCCAGUUCCACGUUAUUAUCAGUAUUAUACACAAACAGUGCGCUGUGGAAAUGUGCCCUCUUAUCACACUUUCCAAAAACAGAAGCUGAUAAUAUUUCUGUACCAGGAUUUUAAGUCCAUCAUCUCCUUGGGUAUUUCUGGCUAGAGUGACCUAGCCAGAAAACUGUGUUUUUGAAGUCAUCACUCAUAUUGUAACAACAUUUUUAGGGAUUGGUCCAGGAAAUAAAAGAUUUGCAGGUGUGA
This is an RNA transcript of Dermochelys coriacea (leatherback sea turtle), 7070 nucleotides long. It is a transcript of the gene named ERGIC and golgi 2, with no coding region annotated. The transcript is spliced from 17 exons. The record is from RefSeq and is a predicted model, not a curated record. Lineage: Eukaryota; Metazoa; Chordata; Testudines; Dermochelyidae.